Molecule: ribosomal RNA, 533 nt
Filed under: Salmonella enterica subsp. enterica serovar Newport
Lineage: Bacteria; Pseudomonadati; Pseudomonadota; Gammaproteobacteria; Enterobacterales; Enterobacteriaceae
Description: partial 23S ribosomal RNA
Rfam family: Bacterial large subunit ribosomal RNA
Source: RNAcentral
CUAAUCUGCGAUAAGCGCCGGUAAGGUGAUAUGAACCGUUAUAACCGGCGAUUUCCGAAUGGGGAAACCCAGUGUGAUUCGUCACACUAUCAUUAACUGAAUCCAUAGGUUAAUGAGGCGAACCGGGGGAACUGAAACAUCUAAGUACCCCGAGGAAAAGAAAUCAACCGAGAUUCCCCCAGUAGCGGCGAGCGAACGGGGAGGAGCCCAGAGCCUGAAUCAGCAUGUGUGUUAGUGGAAGCGUCUGGAAAGGCGCGCGAUACAGGGUGACAGCCCCGUACACAAAAGCGCAUGUGCUGUGAGCUCGAUGAGUAGGGCGGGACACGUGGUAUCCUGUCUGAAUAUGGGGGGACCAUCCUCCAAGGCUAAAUACUCCUGACUGACCGAUAGUGAACCAGUACCGUGAGGGAAAGGCGAAAAGAACCCCGGCGAGGGGAGUGAAAAAGAACCUGAAACCGUGUACGUACAAGCAGUGGGAGCACAGGUUUACCUGUGUGACUGCGUACCUUUUGUAUAAUGGGUCAGCGACUUAU